This 798-nucleotide ribosomal RNA is filed under the name uncultured Lactobacillus sp. RNAcentral's name for it is "bacterial SSU rRNA". It matches the Rfam family "Bacterial small subunit ribosomal RNA", at positions 42 to 799 of the family's 1533-position model. The record is from RNAcentral. Lineage: Bacteria; Bacillati; Bacillota; Bacilli; Lactobacillales; Lactobacillaceae.
GCAUGCCUAAUACAUGCAAGUCGAACGCACUCUCGUUUAGAUUGAAGGAGCUUGCUCCUGAUUGAUAAACAUUUGAGUGAGUGGCGGACGGGUGAGUAACACGUGGGUAACCUGCCCUAAAGUGGGGGAUAACAUUUGGAAACAGAUGCUAAUACCGCAUAAAACCUAACACCGCAUGGUGUAGGGUUGAAAGAUGGUUUCGGCUAUCACUUUAGGAUGGACCCGCGGUGCAUUAGUUAGUUGGUGAGGUAAAGGCUCACCAAGACCGUGAUGCAUAGCCGACCUGAGAGGGUAAUCGGCCACACUGGGACUGAGACACGGCCCAGACUCCUACGGGAGGCAGCAGUAGGGAAUCUUCCACAAUGGACGAAAGUCUGAUGGAGCAACGCCGCGUGAGUGAAGAAGGUUUUCGGAUCGUAAAACUCUGUUGUUGGUGAAGAAUGUAUCUGAUAGUAACUGAUCAGGUAGUGACGGUAUCCAACCAGAAAGCCACGGCUAACUACGUGCCAGCAGCCGCGGUAAUACGUAGGUGGCAAGCGUUGUCCGGAUUUAUUGGGCGUAAAGCGAGCGCAGGCGGUUUCUUAAGUCUGAUGUGAAAGCCUUCGGCUCAACCGAAGAAGUGCAUCGGAAACUGGGAAACUUGAGUGCAGAAGAGGACAGUGGAACUCCAUGUGUAGCGGUGAAAUGCGUAGAUAUAUGGAAGAACACCAGUGGCGAAGGCGGCUGUCUGGUCUGUAACUGACGCUGAGGCUCGAAAGCAUGGGUAGCAAACAGGAUUAGAUACCCUGGUAGUCCACG